Long non-coding RNA from Galleria mellonella (greater wax moth), 1505 nucleotides. RefSeq lists it as uncharacterized. The transcript has 2 exons. NCBI's taxonomy places the organism in Eukaryota, Metazoa, Arthropoda, Insecta, Lepidoptera, Pyralidae. The record is from RefSeq and is a predicted model, not a curated record.
UUAAAAAAAAAAAAGAAAAGUUUUCAAAAAGAUCUUUAAUUAGUUGUAUAUCGUACCGUACCAUACAGCCGUUAAAUAACCAAAGCUAAACAUAGACCUCCCUAUAUUGUAAUGUUAUGCUAGUAAUUGCCACGCUUAGCAGGAGACUUAGCAACCGCAAUUAAGCGUAGAUGUUUUAAACGAAACUCUGUUUUUUUUUUAAUAGGUGAAUAUUUUUUAAUAGGUAAUCGGCGAACACUGCUGUUAAUAGAUUAUUUCUUAUUAUUUUAGUCAGUUAAUAAAUUGUACAUAGUAUCUUACAUAUCUAAUUACCAUACUUGAAGGGGAUGGCAGCGUCCAGCUUUCGGGCGGAGAGUUACAAAGAGACAAGAAACCUCUUCGAAGGAUUAUUACAAAUCAUUAAUAAAACCGGGCUAUUACAGGAUCUUUCCAGAAAAUUCAAUUAGAGUGGUGAAUACACAGCAUUUAUUACAAGUUCCACUGGAGAAAAAUUGGAAAUCUAAAACCUCUAGUAUUGGCCAAUUUAUUCAAAAAUGAAGUCAAGGGUGUGACUAAUAUCAUUAUCAAACAUAUCAUUGCAACCAAAGUCGGUGUGACAUUUUUACAAACUAAAUCAAUCGGCACUGAUAUAAUGCAUACAUCCCUGCAACAGCUAUAGAAGCCAUUGACAUGCUAUGAUUUGUACCCACUGGUAUAAGUAAAGGAAAUAUAUUAAAAAAAAAAUCUAUAUAUGAGAUAAUUAAAAAAAGUGCUACAAAUAUUUUCAAUUCAAUCAUGAAACUAAAUCUUGUAUAUCUACACAGAAAUGCUCAAUAUGUGUAGAGAAUCACUUGUAUUCAGAUGGUAAAGCAAAAACUGUCAAUGUAUUAACUGUGGAGGUCAGCGUCUCGGUAUCUCAAGAGAUUGCCCCAUGAAAAAAUUGAAAAUGGAUGAAGAAAACAAAGCAAAAUAUACACAAACCUUAAAAAUAAAACUUGUAAACUGUAGAUUCAAAUAACAUCAUGAAAAAUAAUAAAGAACUCAUUGAUAGAAUCAUAAAUGCGAUUAAAUUGUAAAUGGACUAAUUGAAGUUGUGGUUUCCUUAGAAAAUGAUAGUAGGGCUCUGACUUCUAAAGUUAUUAAAGACACUUUAAUAAAAAGUCAUAAAAAUGAAUAAGUCAUUUAUUAGAAUUUCUCAGUACAUUAUACAAAUUAUUUCUUUAUUUAUUCUUUAUUGUACACAAAAUAUAAUAAAUCUUUACUAAUUAUAUUCAUCCAUUAAAAUGUUAUUGAUGUUUGCUUGCGAAUGAAACAAUGUUGAGAGAGAGAGAGUUCCAAGUUUAACGUGCCUGGUUAUAAUUUUAUAGGUUAAACUGGUACAGUAGAUGGUCUGUAAGGUGUAGGUAUAUUAAUUAAGAACUAUUUUAAUUGUUCUACUAUUUCUACACCCACCUAUGAUUUUAUGUAAUCUCUAGCUAUUGUACUUAAAACACAAUUAGGCAAUUGAUUUAUAUUAUGCACAUAUU